This 98-nucleotide small nuclear RNA is filed under the name Monodon monoceros (narwhal). The record is from RNAcentral. Lineage: Eukaryota; Metazoa; Chordata; Mammalia; Artiodactyla; Monodontidae.
AUAUACUAAAAAAAAAAAAAAAUUGGAACGACACAGAGAAGAUUAGCAUGGCCCUGCGCAAGGAUGGCAUGCAAAUUCCUGAAGCGUUCCAUGUUAAA